CCCCAAACACAAAGGCUUGGUAAUAUCAAUAAUCAUUGCAAUCCUUGCAAGCUCCAUACAAGCUGAUAUUGUUGUCCAAUCAUCUACAAAUGGUGGUGUUCCAGCAAUAGAAGUAAGUUUCAUAAUUCUUUGAGUUUUCCAUAAUUCCAAUGGAAGGUCUAGAGAAUGGAUCCAGAUAUGGGUAUUCUGAACAAUAUCCUUCUCGGGAUGAAAAUUUAGUCUCCAGCUCUCUAGAGCCAAGAUUUGGUCAGCAAGAGAUCUGGGAUCCUUCUCAAGCACUUUAUUUUUCACUGUUUUCAAAGAGAAUUCGAAUAACCCUUCUGAACGAGGUGAG
Molecule: long non-coding RNA, 334 nt
Filed under: Elaeis guineensis (African oil palm)
Lineage: Eukaryota; Viridiplantae; Streptophyta; Magnoliopsida; Arecales; Arecaceae
Description: long non-coding RNA (EGUI_LNC028823)
Source: RNAcentral